RNAcentral lists this ribosomal RNA (355 nucleotides) under uncultured prokaryote. RNAcentral describes it as "partial 16S ribosomal RNA". The record is from RNAcentral.
CUUAAGAGGGCGUUCAGCAGCCAGCUUGCGGCAAAACUGCGUAACCGUCUUCUCGUUCUCUAAAAACCAUUUUUCGUCCCCUUCGGGGCGGUGGUCUAUAGUGUUAUUAAUAUCAAGUUGGGGGAGCACAUUGUAGCAUUGUGCCAAUUCAUCCAUUAACUUCUCAGUAACAGAUACAAACUCAUCACGAACGUCAGAAGCAGCCUUAUGGCCGUCAACAUACAUAUCACCAUUAUCGAACUCAACGCCCUGCAUACGAAAAGACAGAAUCUCUUCCAAGAGCUUGAUGCGGUUAUCCAUCUGCUUAUGGAAGCCAAGCAUUGGGGAUUGAGAAAGAGUAGAAAUGCCACAAGCC